Molecule: ribosomal RNA, 448 nt
Filed under: Salmonella enterica subsp. enterica serovar Enteritidis
Lineage: Bacteria; Pseudomonadati; Pseudomonadota; Gammaproteobacteria; Enterobacterales; Enterobacteriaceae
Description: partial 23S ribosomal RNA
Rfam family: Bacterial large subunit ribosomal RNA
Source: RNAcentral
AAAUUGAAUUCCCCGUGAAGAUGCGGGGUUCCUGCGGUCAGACGGAAAGACCCCGUGCACCUUUACUGUAGCUUUGCGCUGGUAUUCGUGACUGUUUGUGUAGAAUAGGUGGUAGACUUUGAAGCCAGGGCGCCAGCUCGGGUGGAGUCGCAAUGUGAAAUACCACCCUAAUGGUUAUGGAUAUCUAACCGCAUCCCGUCAUCCGGGAUCGGGACAGCGCAUGGUGGGCAGUUUGACUGGGGCGGUCGCCUCCUAAAUCGUAACGGAGGCGUGCGAAGGUCCCCUCAGCCUGAUUGGAAACCAGGCGUAGAGUGCAAAUGCAAAAGGGGGCUUAACUGCGAGACCGACAGGUCGAGCAGGUGCGAAAGCAGGCAUUAGUGAUCCGGUGGUGCUGCAUGGGAGGGCCAUCGCUUAUCGGCGACAAGGUACUCUGGGGAUAACAGGCUGA